This 241-nucleotide ribosomal RNA is filed under the name uncultured bacterium. RNAcentral describes it as "partial 16S ribosomal RNA". It matches the Rfam family "Bacterial small subunit ribosomal RNA", at positions 536 to 776 of the family's 1533-position model. The record is from RNAcentral.
AAUCGUUGUCCGGAUUUACUGGGCGUAAAGAGCGUGUAGGCGGCCACGCAUGUCCGUUGUGAAAACUGGAGGCUCAACCUCCAGCUGUCGACGGAAACCGUAUGGCUAGAGUCCGGAAGAGGAGAGUGGAAUUCCUGGUGUAGCGGUGAAAUGCGCAGAUAUCAGGAAGAACACCAAUGGCGAAGGCAGCUCUCUGGGACGGUACUGACGCUGAGACGCGAAAGCGUGGGGAGCGAACAGG